GGUUUCCAAAUGGGGAUUGGAUGGGACAGAAUUAACUGGACAUUAUUUCUAUUUGUUUUGGUUGUUUCAUCUCCAAUCGACACAGCUCGAAUACCAGGGAGUCGAGAAAACGAAUCGAUUCGAUUAUAAAUAACGGCAAACAAGCGGGCACUCGUUUGAUUGGAAUGGAUACUAUUUCAAUAUUAUGAAUGAACCAAUGAUUUCCGGCAACGUAAACAGUACCGAAUCUUCUAGACUUUUUUUUUGGGUUGGAAUAGACUUCUUUUUUAAUAGAAUCUUCUAGACAUGCCUGCAGAAAGCUCCCAGGAUAAUUAGUAGUUGCGUGAAUGAGCGAUCGUCAAAAUCGGAGAAUCCAAACUCGCAAAUAGAAAGAAGCCAUUUCCCCAACACUUUUCUUCUCCUCCUCCCUCCUCUGAUCAAUUCUUCUGCAAUCCAAUUGCAAAAUAAUCGAUAAUCGAAUAUGAUUGAGGUGAUUUUAAACGACAGGUUGGGAAGAAGGAUAGAGUCAAAUGCAACGAAGAUGAUACCAUUGGCGAUCUUAAAAAGCUCGUCGCUACUCAGACUGGUACCCGACCCGACAAGAUUCGUAUCCAGAAGUGGUACACCAUCUACAAGGACUACAUUACCGUCAAGGAUUACGAGAUUCACGAUGGCACGGGUCUCGAGCUCUACUAUAACUAGUUUCUCGUCCAUUCUCUCUGGUCCGUUUCUCCCUUUUCAAAUUAGUCUACUACUUUACGUGUGUUUGUGUCGUGUGUGAUGUGAUUUUAUGGACUAGUGUUAGUGUACUUGACUGAUAAUGCAAACUCUGCGUGAAUUGGAUGUUGAAUUGAAUUUAACAGAUUCCUGUCCUAUAAUUUGGAUAUUAAUUAGUUGUGCUUGAAUUUGAGUGCAAUAAAUCUCUUAUACGCUUUAAGGGUAUAUGAAGAUUUGAGAUGAAUAUCAUAUUGAAAUUGCAUGAAUUUAAAAUCCACCUUAACUUCAAAUGCAUACUUACUGUUUUUAGCGAAUUCUAUUUCCUUCAAUUUGUUUGCUAAUUCUUUUCUUAAAAAAAUUUGCUUAUUUGAAAGCAAAAGCAAAAGCAAUGAUUAUUAGUUGAUUAUAGUAAAUUACUGUCUGGGGUUCAGAGAUUAAGUAAUGAUUAUUCGUUGCAUAAAAUUCUAAAGCAAAGCCUGUGGAAGGUCUUCACAUCAUUUGUAUCAAGCUGUACCUUACCAGAAUUUGGCAGAGAAACACAUUCUCAUUGCUCACGCUUAGUGCUACGUAUUGUUAGGUUUUUGCCAAAAAAAUUAUUAUUUAGCAAUGGCAUUGUUGUUUAGUAAUUACAUAAGCAAAGUUCCUUGGUUAAUAAGCGUUUUUAUAAAAUCAAAUUGCAAGCCUAGAAUGCUUAUAUCUGCUUUGAGGGGAAAAAGUUCAGACAGCAAGCCUGGAAUUGUAAGACAAUGAAAAUAGAAUAUUUCGCUUGAUGCAUUUUAUCAUUCAAAAUGUAGACUAUUAUUUUAAUGAAAUGUUGUCAUUUUGUUUCUACCUUGUUACAACUUAUUACAGUUCACUUACACUUUGUUUGUCUCGAAGGAAUAAAUAUUAUUGUCCUAUUUUCGUUUAUUUGGAUAGUAUUACAAACUUAAUUGAACACAUGGAGAUGGAUGAAUGGGAUGAGGCAAAAGUCCAUGAAAAAUGAAGAUUGGGCUUAAUUAAUUAGCUAGUUAGCCUUUCACCCUUGUAUACUCCUUUGAAUUCCUUUCUCUUUCCAAUGGGUGAUCCUUGACAUUUCUCCUUAAGGAACAACUUGAUAUCUAGUUAACACUUGAACCUUGAAAUCCUCUCUCGAAAUCUUGAAUUUGAAUACAAUAGCAACACACUGAUACUUGAACUUGAAAUUAAACUGAAAUUGAAAUGAAAUCUGACCUGCUUUAAUACUAUAUUACAAACUUGAAUUGAACUUAUAGAUAUAAAUGAAUAGGCUAAGAUAAGAGUUCAUGAAAAGGGAGAUAGGCUUACUUAAUCUUGAACAACCAGUACUAAAAGUUAUAACCAAUUAAUUAGUUAGGCCUAAAAACUUUUUCACUAAUUUAAAAUGAAAAGGAGGAAUGAAAAAGGGAAAAAAGGUACGAAGGCUAACAUUAUGAAUAUACCUUUAACAUCAUAUAAAUGCCACAUGAUGAGGGUAUAACAGUAAAAAUAAAUCUUAUAAAUUUAUUUAUUUUAUUUUUUAUUCUAGUUAAUUAAUUAUUUAAAUUUUAU
This 2244-nucleotide unclassified non-coding RNA is filed under the name Hevea brasiliensis (rubber tree). Lineage: Eukaryota; Viridiplantae; Streptophyta; Magnoliopsida; Malpighiales; Euphorbiaceae. The record is from RNAcentral.